RNAcentral lists this ribosomal RNA (406 nucleotides) under uncultured bacterium. RNAcentral's name for it is "partial 16S ribosomal RNA". It matches the Rfam family "Bacterial small subunit ribosomal RNA", at positions 30 to 526 of the family's 1533-position model. The record is from RNAcentral.
AUUGAACGCUGGCGGCAGGCCUAACACAUGCAAGUCGAGCGAGCGGCGGACGGGUGAGUAAUGUAUGGGGAACUGCCCGAUAGAGGGGGAUAACUACUGGAAACGGUAGCUAAUACCGCAUACUAUCGGAUACCCCCCGAUGGGAUUAGCUAGUAGGUGGGGAAAAGGCUCACCUGGGCGACGAUCCCUAGCUGGUCUGAGAGGAUGACCAGCCACACUGGAACUGAGACACGGUCCAGACUCCUACGGGAGGCAGCAGUGGGGAAUAUUGCACAAUGGGCGCAAGCCUGAUGCAGCCAUGCCGCGUGUAUGAAGAAGGCCUUCGGGUUGUAAAGUACUUUCAGCGGGGAGGCGUUACCCGCAGAAGAAGCACCGGCUAACUCCGUGCCAGCCGCCGCGGUAAUUC